UGGCCAAGAUUGAAAGGUGGAAGAGGGGGAGGAGGAGGAAAAAGAAGGAAGCAAUGACCAAGAAUGAGAGAUGGCAAUCGCCCAUGUCGGGCAGAUAUUUAAGCCAAGGAGCUUUUUGAUGUUCGAGAGGGAGAAAGAGAGAUUUAUGUGUCAGGUUUUUGCCGAGCUUUGAUACCCAUCGAAGUGUGUUUUGAGCUGGCGUUGUCCGUUUGUGCCAAGUUUAUGACACGGCGGCGAUUAUGCCCUCCCGCGUCCUGUCAGCUGCUGAGUCAGCCUAAUCUGAAGUCGUAGAUCAGGCCAUCCGGACGAGGUGGAAGAAAAUCAUUUAAGGGAUACGUGGGAGAGGAAGUGAGCGCGCGCGUCCGAAUGUGAGAACUCUGGUCGCGGGAUAACGAAAGUGAUUGAAGUUCCGAUUCUGUGUUUCAGGUAAAACGACUGAAGAAAAAAAGAAAGAAAAUAAUCAAAUUUUGAUAAAACGAAGGAAUAAUAAAAUAAUAAUAAGAAAAAUCAAAAGGGUGAAAAGAAAAAGGGAAUAGAAAAUUACGCCAAGAGUGAAAGCGAAAGUGUGCGUAAGAGUUACCAAAGUGCCUCCAGCAGUGUGAUGUCCAAGGGAAAGACUCGUGCCAUCACAAGGUCAGAGUAGGUCACCAUCACCACCACUAUGCCGGCACCACCCGAUACGGACGGCAGGACGAAGAUAGGCGAGUCGGGAGGCGAGAAACAGCCCUUCCUCGGCGGCGUGGAGCCCGUCCGCCUCACGCCUUCAUGGGAGAACACCAACCUGCCGAAGGAGGAACUCAACUUCAAAAAUGUCAGCACCUUCGAGACCUUCGAGGUGGAUAUGGAGCCUCCCAAGGACAGGUGAGUCGAGCAGAGUGUAUUCAGGUGAACUUAUGAUAACAAAGAGUAAGUCAGACGAGAGACCACGCCAUAGUGAAGAAGAGAAAAACAGGUAAGGCGCAUGUUUAUAUCUUGUUUGCUUUCUCUUAUCAUUCUGCGCAUUCUGUCGAUUACGAAAGAAAUUGUCUCGCAGAAUUAAGUUUACAAGUCUUCGAGAAUGUUAUGAUAGUGUGUUUAGUCUUCGCUUUAAGACCGGUUUUCGUAAUGGCUGUGCGGAUAAAC
This is a non-coding RNA of Penaeus vannamei (Pacific white shrimp), 1122 nucleotides long. The record is from RefSeq and is a predicted model, not a curated record. NCBI's taxonomy places the organism in Eukaryota, Metazoa, Arthropoda, Malacostraca, Decapoda, Penaeidae.